This 425-nucleotide long non-coding RNA is filed under the name Triticum aestivum (bread wheat). RNAcentral's name for it is "long non-coding RNA (TAES_LNC004665)". The record is from RNAcentral. Lineage: Eukaryota; Viridiplantae; Streptophyta; Magnoliopsida; Poales; Poaceae.
GGAGGACAAGCCAGACAAGCCUGAAGAUGGGAAGAACUGAAGUCAAUGAACUUCUAUUUUCUCAACUUGCAGGCGCAUGAAGAAGUGAAGAAGAUUGCCUGCAUUAGCUGCUUUUACACUCGGGCUAUAUGAAUUUACUUAAUCCUCUUGUAACUGCGUUGAUGAUAACUCAAAUGCCGAGAGAACUUGUAUUAUGUCUGCUCUCACGAACGCUCCUCCAUGUUUGUCUCAAGGGAUUACCUGUUGCAAAUUCAUUUGUACACUUUGUCUGUUGAAUGUAACUUAACACAUUGACAGCGCGGAGCUAGCACCUAGCAUCGGUGAAGUAGGGCAUUGUUGUAUCUGCCCCAAUGGUCCCGGUUAGUAGCGUGGGACAUGCUAGCUUAGAGCAUCUACAACCCAGUGUCUUGUAUGUCCGUGUCCAA